RNAcentral lists this ribosomal RNA (432 nucleotides) under uncultured bacterium. RNAcentral describes it as "partial 16S ribosomal RNA". It matches the Rfam family "Bacterial small subunit ribosomal RNA", at positions 29 to 506 of the family's 1533-position model. The record is from RNAcentral.
AACGAACGCUGGCGGCAUGCCUAACACAUGCAAGUCGAACGAUCCCUUCGGGGGUAGUGGCGCACGAGUGCGUAACGCGUGGGAACCUGCCCUUAGGUUCGGAAUAACUCAGAGAAAUUUGAGCUAAUACCGGAUAAUGUCUUCGGACCAAAGAUUUAUCGCCUUUGGAUGGGCCCGCGUUGGAUUAGCUAGUUGGUGGGGUAAAGGCCUACCAAGGCGACGAUCCAUAGCUGGUCUGAGAGGAUGAUCAGCCACACUGGGACUGAGACACGGCCCAGACUCCUACGGGAGGCAGCAGUGGGGAAUAUUGGACAAUGGGCGAAAGCCUGAUCCAGCAAUGCCGCGUGAGUGAUGAAGGCCUUAGGGUGGUAAAGCUCUUUUACCCGGGAUGAUAAUGACAGUACCGGGAGAAUAAGCCCCGGCGAACUCCGG